This 504-nucleotide ribosomal RNA is filed under the name Triticum aestivum (bread wheat). Its description in RNAcentral is "partial small subunit ribosomal RNA". Lineage: Eukaryota; Viridiplantae; Streptophyta; Magnoliopsida; Poales; Poaceae. The record is from RNAcentral.
AUGCCACAAUUUACUGAAAGACAGAACCUAGCAGCUACUUCUGAAUUUGAGUAUACAUCUGCAGAUCAUGUUGAAAUUGGAACAAGUGCCAAUGAAGUAUUACAUGAAAAUUUAAAAGGAGAAGAAGGUGAUGAUGAAAGUGACAUUGACUACCAGCCUUUGUCAGAGCACAGUUCUGCUAAAGAAUCAGAGGCAGAGCAAGUAAGGAAAUUAGCAAGGGAAAUUAGGAGGCAGAAGAAUCAGAGGCACAGUUCUGACAUUGAUUCAGUUGAUAACAACAUGUGUGAAUCUUUCAACAACUACAUCCUGUUAGCUAGGUACCUUGCUAUUGUCUCAAUGCUUGAGUGGAUCAGGUGCAAAAUUAUGGUGAGGGUACAAGAAAAUAGAGGCAAGUCAGUUAACUGGAAAGGAACUAUAUGUCCCAACAUUUUCAAAAAAACUAAAGCAAAACAUAAGGAGAUCAGGUUUCUGCCAUGUGUUGUGGAAUGGGAAAGAUGGAUUUGA